This 274-nucleotide ribosomal RNA is filed under the name uncultured bacterium. RNAcentral's name for it is "partial 16S ribosomal RNA". It matches the Rfam family "Bacterial small subunit ribosomal RNA", at positions 523 to 796 of the family's 1533-position model. The record is from RNAcentral.
CUACGGAGGGUGCAAGCGUUAAUCGGAAUUACUGGGCGUAAAGCGUACGUAGGCGGUUCGUUAAGUUAGAUGUGAAAGCCCCGGGCUUAACCUGGGAACUGCAUUUAAAACUGGCGAACUAGAGUUGAGUAGAGGGGAGUGGAAUUUCAGGUGUAGCGGUGAAAUGCGUAGAGAUCUGAAGGAACACCAGUGGCGAAGGCGGCUCCCUGGACUCAAACUGACGCUGAGGUACGAAAGCGUGGGUAGCAAACGGGAUUAGAAACCCUUGUAGUCC